This 497-nucleotide ribosomal RNA is filed under the name uncultured bacterium. Its description in RNAcentral is "partial 16S ribosomal RNA". It matches the Rfam family "Bacterial small subunit ribosomal RNA", at positions 28 to 507 of the family's 1533-position model. The record is from RNAcentral.
GAUGAACGCUGGCGGCGUGCCUAAUACAUGCAAGUCGAGCGAACGGACGAGAAGCUUGCUUCUCUGAUGUUAGCGGCGGACGGGUGAGUAACACGUGGAUAACCUACCUAUAAGACUGGGAUAACUUCGGGAAACCGUAGCUAAUACCGGAUAAUAUUUUGAACCGCAUGGUUCAAAAGUGAAAGACGGUCUUGCUGUCACUUAUAGAUGGAUCCGCGCUGCAUUAGCUAGUUGGUAAGGUAACGGCUUACCAAGGCAACGAUGCAUAGUCGACCUGAGAGGGUGAUCGGCCACACUGGAACUGAGACACGGUCCAGACUCCUAAGGGAGGCAGCAGUAGGGAAUCUUCCGCAAUGGGCGAAAGCCUGACGGAGCAACGCCGCGUGAGUGAUGAAGGUCUUCGGAUCGUAAAACUCUGUUAUUAGGGAAGAACAUAUGUGUAAGUAACUGUGCACAUCUUGACGGUACCUAAUCAGAAAGCCACGGCUAACUACGUG